Molecule: long non-coding RNA, 492 nt
Organism: Hemicordylus capensis (graceful crag lizard)
Lineage: Eukaryota; Metazoa; Chordata; Lepidosauria; Squamata; Cordylidae
Exons: 3
Source: RefSeq, a predicted model, not a curated record
AAAACAGUGACGAGAAGUUCUGGGUUGCCGACGACGCUGUCUCCUUAGCAACGCGGCCUGCGAGACGCCGGUGGGAUGUCAGACGUGGAAUCUGCUGGUUUUUAUCGAGCUGCUGUGACAGACACAAAAGCAGACCAGAUCAGUCCCCCCUCAGUCAGUUGGCAACCUGGCAGAUCACAUCUCCACUAUCAUUACAAUAACGCAUUUCUUGCAGGUGCAGAAACAGCAGCAGAGAAGUAAGACGGCGGCAACGAUGAGGAUGGUGGCCAGAGCCCAGGGCGGUACUGGAGCGGAACAGAGCAGUCAAGAGUUGAGGGAGAAUGGCCGGUUUUUGAGGGUGCAGAUUACUGGGGCAGCAGCAGGGUAGAAGAAAUGCCCCCUUGCUGUCAUCACUUAAUAUCAUAAUAUUUAUCGGCUGACAUCGGGAGUAACAAAGGACUUGUGCCACCAAAUUGCACACCUGUAUAGAAAUCACGAGCUAUGCAGAAUAGA